UCUCCGUUGGUGAACCAGCGGAGGGAUCAUUAUAGAGUUUUCUAAACUCCCAACCCUUUGUGAACACAACUUGUUGCUUCGGGGGCGACCCUGCCGUUUCGACGGCGAGCGCCCCCGGAGGCCUUCAAACACUGCAUCUUUGCGUCGGAGUUUAAGUAAAUUAAACAAAACUUUCAACAACGGAUCUCUUGGUUCUGGCAUCGAUGAAGAACGCAGC
RNAcentral lists this unclassified non-coding RNA (217 nucleotides) under uncultured fungus. RNAcentral describes it as "sequence contains ITS1, 5.8S rRNA gene". The stretch from base 169 to 217 matches the Rfam family "5.8S ribosomal RNA", at positions 1 to 49 of the family's 154-position model. Lineage: Eukaryota; Fungi. The record is from RNAcentral.